CCUUGUACACACCGCCCGUCACACCAUGGGAGUGGGUUGUACCAGAAGUAGGUAGCCUAACCUUCGGGAGGGCGCUUACCACGGUAUGAUUCAUGACUGGGGUG
This 104-nucleotide ribosomal RNA is filed under the name uncultured bacterium. RNAcentral describes it as "partial 16S ribosomal RNA". It matches the Rfam family "Bacterial small subunit ribosomal RNA", at positions 1379 to 1482 of the family's 1533-position model. The record is from RNAcentral.